GUACAUACGGCGUCACUCGAAGGUUGGCGUACCGCUUGAAAGAAGGAGUUUCUGUGUCAGGGAUUUCGCGAGAGUUUUCUGUUAGAGGGCUUUUUCGAUUGUUUCAAUUGAUUAUCUGGCUUUUCUGUUCAGUUUUCGUGUCGUACUCAUGGUCUUCAAUAUAGAUUUUGAUCGUUAGAGCUUUUCGUUAGAAACACUGUUGCUUACGGUCGAACUGCAAUUUGUAGGGUUGCCUCGAAUCCAUCAACUCAGCCGCUCCUGGAGGCUGGAGACCGAAGAGGCACAUUUGUAAGAUAUGUAUUUCGAGCAAGAUGGCAAUCAAACCCAGGCUGCCGCUUCACAUGGGUUCACCCCAUUGUUGCUUCACAAUAAUCCUGGCGUCUCGUAAAACCUUUCAAGUGAUGUAUUUCGAUGUAUAAAACUCAGGAAUGUCUUUCAUAGUGGAAAGUGAAGGUAGUAUUGUAAAUAAGGCAAAUGGAAGUAUGUGGAUAUUAAAACUGUAAAUAUGUGGUUUUGUAAGAGUA
Molecule: long non-coding RNA, 524 nt
Filed under: Priapulus caudatus
Lineage: Eukaryota; Metazoa; Priapulida; Priapulimorpha; Priapulimorphida; Priapulidae
Description: uncharacterized LOC106805760, transcript variant X2
Source: RNAcentral